AAAUUGAUAGCACACUAGCGUCUUCAUCGACGGAAUCGUGGAAAAUAGGUCGGCGGUAAGUGGAAUUCGACGUGAUGCUGAAUUGUUUAAUGUAUUAUUCUGCAUGUGGACUUGGACAUGUUCCACUGGCAUUAAAGUCCAUAAAAGGCGAAUUACAGAAAGGACUGUGAGGGUAUCUGUGCGUAGAGUGUAGUAAAAUUAAAUGCCAGUUGGUAAACAAUGCUUGGUAUGGUUAAACCCACACAGUCUAAGACAAAGGAAAAAUGGACCUGGAAAAGUGGAAUACCAUGCUUUGUUGUCAACACAAAACUUGGAACAGCAAUGGUGGGCAGCCUGGGUGGACCAUCCCGUGUAAACAAUAUGUUGUCCACAUUAAACCUAAAAAAAUAUCGGACACCAACUUAAAAAUAAUGGAACAGCCAGCUGGUGAGGUGAAAGAGCAAGUUGCAACUGAAUAAGCUAGGAUUGCUUUCUCAAAUAAAAUAACUUGAAGGAAGGGAACUCCUGCAGGUUACUCAUAUGCAUCGGUGGAAGUCCAGUCUGGUAGUCAGCAUACGUCACGCCAACUGUUCCAAUAACUAAAGAGGCUUUACAAGUUACAGGCAUUUCAUUGACUGAUGGGACAAUGACAUUCAUUGGAUAAGUUGUGCUGCCAGUGUCAAUAUGAGUGGCUGUCGAAAGAAUUAUACAUUGGCUUGAACAGUUUUCAAAUGUGUGCUUAGUUGUUCGAAAUGGUCGUCGUUUUGAUUAAACAAUCUUUGUUUCGAUCUAGGUAAAUGUAAGUGCAAUUGAUAUUUUCUAUAACUGUGUUUUUAUCGAUUCUCCAUCAAUAUUCAGACAAUUAUAUCCAAAGCAGUCCUUAAAGCAAGUGAAUUUAGUUUUACAAUUGCUUGGUGAAACAUACAAUGUCCCGAUGCUAUGGCAGAUGUGGCAGCACUUUAAAAGUUGCUCCAAUUUGUGAAUUUAUUUAUGGUACUGCAUUAUUUCCAUAAUGCCCGUUAUAAAUGCAACACAUUUCAUCAAAGCACCCUUACUUCUUUUUGAGUUAUCGUAGGAUCCAUUUUGUUUGAUGUUUUGUUUCUAUUUUUAUUAACAGUGACCUGAUCAAUCUCAUAAGCUGAAAAAUGAAGGGUUGUACUUAAUCCCUACAUUGCCUUUUAUAUGCAUGCCAAGGCUCACCAAAUGGGCUAAAGUAUUUGUAACUAAGUGCAGGAUAUAGUGUAGAAAGCCCUGUCCAUGUCAAAGGAACUUAUAAGUAUACGCUUAUUUAGUUUCGUUAUGAAAUUUUGCAUUAAUAUUUGUGUUUGUACAUUGUUAUUAAAUGAAUACAAGCUUGUUAGGUAGGGGUCAUUAUAAUUUAAAUCUUACAAUGUUAUAGAUCUUUGUUAACAGAGAAAAAUACUUAGUAUACAACUUUGUUUUGUUUUUUCACUUUUCAUACCUACUCGUGCAUACACCCCCACCACCUCACCAACGCCAUCCACACAUUGGCAGAUUUAGCAUUACUGCAUAAUGUAUUAAAACUAUGUAUAAAGAGAAUAAGAACAUUGAAGGUGCUAACUGAAUUAGUAAAUGCCUCUGUUUAUUUUUAUAGUCCUAUUAGAUUUUAGUGCAUUGUUCAAUAUAC
Dreissena polymorpha is the source of this 1627-nucleotide long non-coding RNA. RefSeq lists it as uncharacterized. The record is from RefSeq and is a predicted model, not a curated record. NCBI's taxonomy places the organism in Eukaryota, Metazoa, Mollusca, Bivalvia, Myida, Dreissenidae. The transcript has 3 exons.